UACGUAGGGCGCAAGCGUUAUCCGGAAUUAUUGGGCGUAAAGAGCUCGUAGGCGGUUUGUCGCGUCUGCCGUGCAAGUCCGGGGCUUAACUCCGGAUCUGCGGUGGGUACGGGCAGACUUGAGUGAUGUAGGGGAGACUGGAAUUCCUGGUGUAGCGGUGAAAUGCGCAGAUAUCAGGAGGAACACCGAUGGCGAAGGCAGGUCUCUGGGCAUUAACUGACGCUGAGGAGCGAAAGCGUGGGGAGCAAACAGG
RNAcentral lists this ribosomal RNA (253 nucleotides) under uncultured bacterium. RNAcentral's name for it is "partial 16S ribosomal RNA". It matches the Rfam family "Bacterial small subunit ribosomal RNA", at positions 524 to 776 of the family's 1533-position model. The record is from RNAcentral.